Sus scrofa (pig) is the source of this 2873-nucleotide non-coding RNA. The record is from RefSeq and is a predicted model, not a curated record. NCBI's taxonomy places the organism in Eukaryota, Metazoa, Chordata, Mammalia, Artiodactyla, Suidae.
CAUGAAAAGGGGGUGGGGGAUGGGGAGGGUGCUCUGCCCUUUGCUUCUCCUGCUUCAACUUUCUCUGCAGCUUCAGUGGCAGUGCUAGAUCCUGCAGGCCUGCUGGAUUCUGCAAGCAGCUCGGGCUUGGUUCAUUUAUCAAAACUGACUGGUUUCUGUUCCCUGCCUGGCCAGAGUGAUUUUUGUUCCUUUGGCUACAGGACAGUAGAAAGGAACUAAUGGGCAGAAAAUUAGGAAAGUUGAAAAGUGUGAAGAAUGGAAGAGGCAAGGGAAGCAGAUGAUGAAAAGGGAAGUGAUGCAAAAGCAAAGAGCCCUGGGGCUGGUCAGGAAUAAAGGCAAACAGGUGGAAGGAAUAAUAAGGAGUGUGAACUAAAUAAAUAAGGGGCAGGAGAAUGCAGAGGGCUGCACCCACCCACCAGAUACACAGGAAAACUUAUCUUCACUCUUCUGGCCUCACUUUCUCCUGAGUUUUAGUCAAAAGAUAUUACUCCUUAUUGCCUCUUUCAUCUCCACAGGAGUUCAAACCUUCUCUACUGCCUGUAAAUCCAGGCAUCCCAGCCUUUCUCUCAACCCUGGUUGGACAUUAAAAUCACUUGAGGAAUAUUUUAAGAUGCUGACACCUGGGCUCCACAUCAGACCACAUAUAUAAGAGUCUCUGGAAGUGUGAGCCAGCACUGAUAUUUAUUGAGCAUCUGUCAUGACCAAGGCCAAGUGUGCUCCCAGGGUGCUUCAGGAAGCUACGACACCACCACAGGGAAAUAUGGCAGUACAUGGUGGGCGAUGUUAGAAGGAAUGUUCAAUAUUCUUCCCACUUAUGAUCAACUUAUCAACAACUGUGAUAAAUGAGACACAACUCCUUUUUAAAAAAUACAGUAGUUAUCUGUUUCUCUUCCAUUCCUUUUAACUGGGAUAUUCCAUUAUGCAACAUUUCAAUAACAUCCUUGCUCACAUUCUAAAUAAAUUUAUUUUGAUAUCAUUUGUCUUCCAAAAUACCAGUCCUGGAUAAACCCACUUAAUGAUUCUCUCCUUGCUUGUAUUCACUGUUGACAUUCCAGUAACUUUUUUCCCCCCAUAUAAUCUGACAGUCAAUUACUCAGCAGUGACUAUUUUAAACCUUUUCCAUUUUCCUGAAACUUCCAUCCCUGCUACUUUCCGCUUCUUCCUUGGUGUUAAUAGUUGACAUUACCUACUGUCUCAGAGGGAAAGUACUUGCCAUCCAUAGGGAUAGAGUAGGCACAGGUGGUUGUGGAAGUCCCAACAGGGGAUCAUAGAUAAAGAGGGAAACCUGGGAGCUGUUGGGAGACCACUGUAAAUUCAAGAAAAACGUCAGAAUAAGGCAGGCUUGCUUAACUGGUGGAGGUGCGAGAAUUGCCGCAGGUCAUUGGGUGGGGGAUGGGAUAAAGCCUGUCUUUAGAUUCAGACCAGAGCCGGAGUUUGAGGACCAACCUUCAGCUGAUUUGAAUACACACCUUACCGGAUACUAAGGAGGAGCUACUACUCCCUGAAAGGAAGAGGAGGGCCUUUCUCACCCCCCCUCCCCUUGGGUAUAAAACUGGCCCACCAGAUCCUCGGGCAGAGCUUCCCUGCCUGUCUGCUUGCCUCUUUUAGAAGCGUCCUAUCCUAACAAAUCUGAUUCUUGCCUGUCACAUUGUUUCUUGCUGAAUUCCUACUGUGUGGAGGUAUAAAGAACCUGAGCCUUGCUGAGUCCAGACACAGGGUUGUUCCCACUGGCUUCCACUGCUCAAUUUUGGGACCAAGUCAACCCAAGUCAACUGCAGAUGAAUCAACCAAGAUCAGCAGAGCCAGGCCCAGAUAAACUGGAGGACUCAGAAACCAUUGCUUUAAGUCACUUGAUUUAGUCACUAGAACAAAGAAUACCCUUGAGUUUCCUUGGAAGGGACUAUACCAGGUUCUCCUCACUAUCCAGAUGGCAGCCAAACUUCAAGGACUUAAACCUUGAAUACACAUUUUAGAGCUGAAGAAGGCUUCACCUGAUGUUUGUUUCUGUGUAAAUGCUGGAGACCUUCAAAUCAAAUCCACAAGGAAGAGAAAUAGCUGACACUGAUGUAAACUGCUUCCACCCAAAGUGACAAAGCAAGACUUCAGACUUGAACUAAACAUGAAAACCUUUCUUAUUCCCUUUCUUUCCUUUACUCUGGCAUUAGCCUUGAAAGAUAACAUCAUUAUUCAUAGCUCCCAAGCCUCUGCUAAGGAUUUAAUCUUUCAGAUGGCUGGACUUGUCAUCAAAAACUCCUGUCUGUCCAUGAUGCUAGAAUCCAUUAACAGUGCUAUCUUAGUGGGAGUGGUUUGGCCGCUGAUAGGAUUUACCUUUGUCUGUGGUGGUUACUAUUCUCCUUGGGCCUAUGAAUGUCUGGGUGGCUGCACAUAACUGGGCAAUCCCUCUUAACUUAUCUAGCUAUGCCUCUAAUUCUCACAGAAAAAUUGAGACACCUCACUCAUCAACCCACCCUGCCCUGAUUUACACUGCCAAGUUAGAAAGACCCACCAGGAAGCAUUCAUGAUUCAAAAUGAGCUCCUUUUGGUAGAUCACCGUUUCCUUCCUUAGGAGUAAAUGCAAAUGAGUAUACAAUCAAGAAUCACUCCUUAACUCUUGAAACUGCUGCAGAACUAACUGCCAAAAUAAUAGUUGCUCAACAAAAUUCCUAGACUCUCUGGCCAAAGUUAUUCUUGAUAAUAGGACAACCCUUGAUUAUCUUUUAGCUGAGAAAGGAGGUGUCUAUGCUGUGGCCAAUACCACUUGCUAUACCUGGAUUAACACUUCUGAAGAAGUUGAAACUUGGAGUUCCCGUCAUGGUGCAGUGGUUAACGAAUCCGACUAGGAACCAUGAGGUUGCGGGUUUGGUCCCUGGCCU